Molecule: ribosomal RNA, 501 nt
Filed under: uncultured bacterium
Lineage: Bacteria
Description: partial 16S ribosomal RNA
Rfam family: Bacterial small subunit ribosomal RNA
Source: RNAcentral
AUUGAACGCUGGCGGCAGGCUUAACACAUGCAAGUCGAGCGGAGCGAGGGUGCUUGCACCUUAGCUUAGCGGCGGACGGGUGAGUAAUGCUUAGGAAUCUGCCUAUUAGUGGGGGACAACAUUCCGGAAGGGAUGCUAAUACCGCAUACGCCCUACGGGGGAAAGCAGGGGAUCUUCGGACCCUGCGCUAAUAGAUGCGCCUAAGUCGGAUUAGCUAGUUGGUGGGGUAAAGGCCUACCAAGGCGACGAUGUGUAGCGGGUUUGAGAGGAUGAACCGCCACACUGGGAAUGAGAAACGGCCCAGACUCCUACGGGAGGCAGCAGUGGGGGAUAUUGGACAAUGGGCGGAAGCCUGAUCCAGCCAUGCCGGGUGUGUGAAGAAGGCCUUUUGGUUGUAAAGCGCUUUAAGCGAGGAGGAGGCUACUAGUAUUAAUACUACUGGAUAGUGGACGGUACUCGCAGAAUAAGCACCGGCUAACUAUGUGCCAGCCGCCGCAGUAA